CCUCAUGCCUUCUUCUCUCCCUCUGCCCAUCAAGCGCCAAACGCGGCGACCUCCCCAACUCGUGCAUGCGUCGCACUGCUCCCCACCCCGCGGCGGCCCGGCUACCUACAACCGCCGCCGCCCUGUCAGAUCCGGCGAGAUCCGGCGCAUCCCACCUCCAUUGCCCCGUGUAGGGACUUCGGGUGCCUGGAUCUGGCGCCUCUGCCCCCGAGAGCAGCCAUGGCGCCCCUGCCCCCUACUUCUCGCCGGCACCUCCAGUGGUCGUGGCCGCCGGCGACUGUCGGAUCCGGCCUCCACCGCGCCUGUAGCCACUGGAUCCGUGGAUCCCCCAGGCGGGUGUGCCCCUGUUAGCCCCACAUCGCCGACCACGUGUCCGGUGGCUCACAGUAGCGGCGCGGCUCGGUAGGCUCCGUGGCUGACUCUGCCUACGAGCGUGCAGUUCUGCCCACACGGGCGUGCAGCUCGACCAACGGAGCAUUGCAGUUCGGCUGACGGCACCGAUGGCUUCCGGUGAAUUCUCGCUUGGACGGCGGUGCGACGUUCAGUUCAAUCACUUGGGCGAGCGGUUCGGCGGCCGUAUGGUUGCGGUGUAGUGCGCCAUCAUGCGCAGUUCUGUAGGCGUGUACUCCGGCCUCCCCGUAGCCGCUGUGCGCAACUGCUCAUCUUCGCGGGCCCGGGCGCGCCGCCGCUCCCCUUUAUCUUCUGUGUGCCUUCCUCCACAACACACAGCGCGGAUCCAAAAAGAUCUCGGCCACCGGCGAGCGGUCACGCCAAGCUUCUCGGUCGCGUUUUCUCCCUGAUUGUACUUCAUUUCAAUCCUUUUGAAGCUCGCUAAAUUAUGUUUUGCAGUUCACCGUGAGAUCCAUGGCGCUGGCCACGCCGCGCCUUCUCCUGCUGCUCCAUCUAAGGCGAGGACGGGCUCUGCCGCGCCAGGAAACAGGGUGUGGCCUGGCACCGGCGAUUACAGCGUGGUGGUUCUCUAAUUCCCCAACAACAAAAGCUGCAGUGAGGCUACCGCACGGUUGAAGUUCAGCAGUAAUUUUGCUGCUUUUUCAUAUUUUGCUUGGGCGCAAUACUACACUUCUCCUGGGUCUGCAGUCCACCGACGAGACAGCUCGUGGUUGGAUGUGAUCGCUUUGCUAUUCGCUUCUGGGAGUGCGGGAGUGCUCUUGUACCACUGAUAGUUGGAUUGCUUUUUUGUUUGUAAAGAAGGUUAAGUGCAAUGCGGUUCAGUUAAGUCAUUUUUGCAGGAGAAGACGAAGAUAAAGUGCACUGCACAUAUUUGUUGAGCCUAAUAAAAAGUUAAAUUGCACGUCUAGGUUCUAGAGGAAAAGGUGCAGUGCACUUGUCUCAAACGAUAGUCCAUUUUUUUCACUUUCAAGGUUCACUGCUCAUGUUUGGGGCAGCUUGCUAUAUUUUUGUUUCGUUUUGGGGGUGUUCAUACAAAAAGGCAAGAUUUAGUUUGUAAUUAUUUGAAGAAAUCUCAUGUAGUUCAUUUGUAUGAAGACUUGUGGUUUGCUGUGUAAAAAGAAGAUGAAAACAAACAAUGCAGUACACUAGCCUCGAGGGUGGACAUGAAGUGCACUCCACCUCGUUUGGAAAAAUUUACGUCCCAC
RNAcentral lists this ribosomal RNA (1616 nucleotides) under Triticum aestivum (bread wheat). RNAcentral describes it as "partial small subunit ribosomal RNA". Lineage: Eukaryota; Viridiplantae; Streptophyta; Magnoliopsida; Poales; Poaceae. The record is from RNAcentral.